RNAcentral lists this ribosomal RNA (195 nucleotides) under uncultured bacterium. RNAcentral describes it as "partial 16S ribosomal RNA". It matches the Rfam family "Bacterial small subunit ribosomal RNA", at positions 326 to 539 of the family's 1533-position model. The record is from RNAcentral.
ACGCUCGACACUCGGGAGCAGCAGUGGGGAAUAUUGCACAAUGGGGGAAACCCUGAUGCAGCGACGCCGCGUGGAGGAAGAAGGUCUUCGGAUUGUAAACUCCUGUUGUUGGGGAAAAAGAGGAUGGUACCCAACAAGGAAGUGACGGCUAACUACGUGCUAGCAGCCGCGGUAAUCUGAGCGGGCUGGCAAGGC